RNAcentral lists this ribosomal RNA (491 nucleotides) under uncultured bacterium. Its description in RNAcentral is "partial 16S ribosomal RNA". It matches the Rfam family "Bacterial small subunit ribosomal RNA", at positions 29 to 507 of the family's 1533-position model. The record is from RNAcentral.
AUGAACGCUAGCUACAGGCUUCACCCAUGCAAGUCGAGGGGAAACGGCAUUGAGUGCUUGCACUCUUUGGACGUCGACCGGCGCACGGGUGAGUAACGCGUAUCCAACCUUCCCAUUACUGUGGGAUAACCUGCCGAAAGGCAGACUAAUACCGCAUAGUCUUCGAUGACGGCAUCAGAUUUGAAGUAAAGAUUUAUCGGUAAUGGAUGGGGAUGCGUCUGAUUAGCUUGUUGGCGGGGUAACGGCCCACCAAGGCUACGAUCAGUAGGGGUUCUGAGAGGAAGGUCCCCCACAUUGGAACUGAGACACGGUCCAAACUCCUACGGGAGGCAGCAGUGAGGAAUAUUGGUCAAUGGACGGAAGUCUGAACCAGCCAAGUAGCGUGCAGGAUGACGGCCCUAUGGGUUGUAAACUGCUUUUGUAUGGGGAUAAAGUUAGGGACGUGUCCCUAUUUGCAGGUACCAUACGAAUAAGGACCGGCUAAUUCCGUG